Long non-coding RNA from Bombus pyrosoma, 1561 nucleotides. RefSeq lists it as uncharacterized. The record is from RefSeq and is a predicted model, not a curated record. Lineage: Eukaryota; Metazoa; Arthropoda; Insecta; Hymenoptera; Apidae. The transcript is spliced from 6 exons.
CUUUACUUCAGUGGCGUUCGCAUCGUCUUCAUCGUCGGUGUCCCAAUGAAGGAGAGAUAGGUUGGAGCAAACAUCACGCUAGUCUUUUCUAUACGAAGAGAAAUAGAGAUAAUCGGCGCAAUAAUAUUCUUACGUGUUACGGAAGUCUGGGUAACGUUACAAAAUUUCAACGACAAUUAUUACGUAAUACUUGCAACGAAAGGAAGAAUACUUACAAGAGCGAGAAAUUGUUCGCUAUUCUUCAGUCGUAUCAUUGGCAAAAGUGGCGUUUGAGGAAUUCAACGAGGCAAGAGCAGGAUGGAAUCCCGAUCAAAUGUGAAGAGCCACGUAAUUUUCAGAGACCCGAAUGUUUUUUGAGCGAACAGUACGCAGAAGCGGCGGGCGUGGAGAAGGGAAAAGGGCGUAGUAAGUCAUACGGAGAGGCUCGUACGUCAUCCUCCAUCCGGGCCAACGGAGCAACACAUGGAAAGGGGCUGCGGAGCCUCCAUACACGACGAACGCACCUACUUGGCUUGCCUCUUUAGGUCGAGGUUCGCUAGUGUUCGCGUACCACCACACACGUUCAUAACACGCACUCACACGCUGGUCACUCGUGUGCCUCGAUAUGUAGGAGAGGCUGAACCACUUGGUCACGGGCGUGCAACACGCACGCCUAUAUUCGACGCAAAGUCCACGAUCCGAUCUUUUCAAUUUUCCAAUUGUAAAUUAGCGCCUUAAAUGGUUGGUAAAAAAGAAGGCGUCGUAGAAGCGUGAGUAUACGGGAACGAAGCGACCGGAAACAUCGACCACUCAUCAAGAGGGAAGUUCUCUCAGCCAUGUUUGUCAGCCAUUGAGGCUCCUAUCGAGGAUAAACGUUAGAAAUAAACGACCAACGAGGGAAAAUUAUAGUGGAAACAUAAGGAAAGAAACAAAACAUUCCUACCACACACGAAGACGCGGAACGAUCUUGGUCGAUACACACAAAGAUAUGUGCUCUGUAUUACCGACGAGCCUCGCAGCGACGAUAGCGGUAAGCGCGGAGGCACAUAAGAGGGAGGGGUAAACGAGCCGAGCCACGAUUUCGUCGUCGUAAACGUCAACGUUACGGUUACAGCGUUGUUCCUAGCUGGUUUAUAUUGAACGAGGUUGCUCCCCGAGUUAUUGAAUGGAAGACGCCGAGUUGAUUCAGGAAUACGCGAGCAAAACGACGCCCGGUUGAGAGGAUUCUUUGCUCCGGGCCGUGAGCCGGUACCGUGGCCGAAACUUGACGUUAGAUGGAACGAGAACGAUGCAACACCGCCGCCUCCUUGAAUAUUAAAUUCUUUCUGCCGUUGAAUUUAGUAUUUAUAGAAGGACGUAAAGAAUAAGAGAGAGGUUCUCCUCUCGCGUGGUUCUCCUGCGGGAGGAGGAAAUAAAAUAAAAAAAAAAAGACAGAAAAGGGAGGAAGAGUACAACGGCGGGGCCUUAAACCGGACCAAAGGGCGCGAGAAGGAGGCUAGGAGAAGAAGAUCGUAGGUAAGAGUGAAACAGGACGGCGAAGAAUGAGAGGUAACGGGGGUAAGAAGAGAGGACCAAACUACGA